Molecule: non-coding RNA, 2529 nt
Organism: Cajanus cajan (pigeon pea)
Lineage: Eukaryota; Viridiplantae; Streptophyta; Magnoliopsida; Fabales; Fabaceae
Source: RefSeq, a predicted model, not a curated record
UUAGAAACACAUAUUUUUAAAUUUAAACAAACAAACACUAAAUGUUGUUCUUAUUCUAUUACAUUAUGAUGGUCCGCAUUUGCAACUUUUUGUACGAUAUUCUCAUUUUCUCUUUUUGAUGCACUCUAAUAGCUGGGAUCAUGGUUGAUGGUUGAGACAUAUUACUAUACAGAAAAACCAAUAUUUGGUUAUAUAAUUUUGUUACAUGCAAUUUACAUUUUAACAUUAGGUACCAAAAAGCAUAGGUAGAGUAAUAAAACUAUUAGAUGAGAAUUUCUCCACCAUGCGGUUAUGGCAUGUGGCAUGUGGUCAACUACUCUCAACUAUUUAUGCAUUGUAUUUUGUUGAAGUCCUUCCUGGAUGUAUACCACUUUAUUAUAAUCUAUAGAAAGUUUGGUUAAUUGUUGUCUUCUUCUAUUGUUUUAUGAGUAAGAUUUGCAUUUGCAACUUUUUAUAAGAUGUUUCAUUUUCUCUUUUUGAUGCAUCCGUGAUGGUCUAAUCAGGCUUAAUAAUUGCGACUUGCAAGGCAUAUUACAGAACAUAUGGACUAAUAUUUAAUUACGUAGUUUUUAUCAUCACUUGCAGGUUAAAUUUGAACAUGUGCAAAAAAUCAUAGAUAGUUUGUUGGUGAUUUAAUGACAUUUAGUUACAAAUAUGCAUCCUCUUAGUUAAAAAUUAUGGAAAACUGAUUUUUUAUUUUUCAAUAAUUUAGAAGAUGAUGUGUUCGGUCUUGGCAAUUAUUUUUUUUGUUUGCUCUAUAUAGUUAUUUAGAACCUUGUUACAAGGUUCUUAUGAAAUUGAUACUUUGAGAAAAAGUACUUCAUUUCAAAUCUAAAUUAGGAGCCCUAUAGAGUGAUUGAUUAUUUGAUUUUGUGUACAACAGUUGUUGAAAUAUUACCUUACAUUUCAGAGUCUCUUAUUAAUAUCUAUUCUGUUACUCAACUGUUCAAUGGACAAUUGCAUGUUUUUUGGUGAGUUAGACUUCAUAGUUCUUAGAAAUAGGGCAGCUUGAUUAGUUUCUUUUGAGGUAUUUAUAUGUGGAAUAUUUGGAAUUCAAUUUGCAAUUAGAAUGGAUUUGGCUGGCUCUGAUCUUAAUAGUGACAGCCAUAAAAUAUGCUGAAAAAUGCAUAUAAGACGGAGUAUCAUUGACUAAAAAAUGGCCAGCUACAUUUUGUUUCGUACUGUUGCUGGUCCAGAAUGCAUAGAAAUUUGUUGUUUAUGGCUGUAGAAAAAGAUCACAGAGCAAAGUAGAACAAAAAUUAUUUUUUUGAUUGGAUUGUGUCUUGUUGAUUGUGAAAAUCAACCACUAUAAUCUCAAGGUGUUUUGGAAGUAUUUAAAUCUAAAAGCUAAAGAUAUUAGCACUUAUUUGUGGCUUUCAAUGACUUUUUCUUGUUUGAUGUGAUGCCAAAGACAUUGCCCACUACAAAUCUAUCUUGUUUUGGCUUCAUGUGGAUGGAGAUUGUUCUAAAAAAACAAUUAGGAAACCUGGUAUUGGGAGAUUUCCAGCAACAAAGUUUAGCUUGGUUUUUGGUUGAUAUAUAAAAGCUCAAAGUUUCCAGCAACAGUUAGAAAAACUUUUUCUCCCUACUUAACUAUUGUUUCUUGCUAGCUAGCCAAUUCUCAUGUAUGUGAGGGACACUCGAUGUAGGUUAUUUCAAAAAAAUUAUAGUUGGGAGAUUUCUGUGGAAGAAAACUGUCAGAUGCACCCACCAGAGAUUGACUUUUAAGUUUGGUAAACAAAUGGUAAUAUGUUUUUAUAUUUCAUUGGUUAUAAGUUUGGUUACAUAUGUUGACUUUUAAUUUUGUUAAAUGUAGGACAUAUCUGAUAAAAAUGCAGCAAACCGUGAAAAGUUAUUGAUCCCACAUACUCUAGGAUCAAAGACAUUAGCAAGAAAAAAGGGAUGAGUUGGAAGUGCAAUAUGGACGACAUUAUAAUAGAGGAGAUAUGUAUCCUAUUGCUCAUAAAAAGAAGGAUGGAUCAUUUGUGAGCGAAAAUGCUACACAAAAAUAUGAACAAUUGCAUAAUGAAAUUCAGGAGUCUUCUUCUGAGAAUGAGGCAUUCUUGAAAGUAUUUGGAAAGGAGCAUCCCGGAUAUGUCUGAGGCAUGGGACUUGGGGUUACUCCGACUCAAAUCAUUGGAUCAUAUUCUUCCUCUACGAGGUCUGGAUCUUCAUCAGAUGCGGCCACGAUAGCACAAUUGCGAUCUGAAGUUGAAGCGCUUAAGGCACGAGUUGGUGAAGUUGAUGUUUUGAAGAAUUAGCUUUCCUUAUGCAAAUUGUUAAAGGAAAUCAGGCAGCUGAAUUGGAAUCUCCAGCAAAUUUGAGACGUUCUUCUAAGUCUAGCCAUGUUCCUGAAGACAAUGGAGGAUCAUCAUGAGGGAAUAUUUAGAGAUUUGCUUCAUUUUUAGUUUGUUGGGAGCUUUUAGGACCAUCUUUAUAUUUUCGUUGUUUUUAUGUACCUAAGUUUCGUAAACUUAAAGACCAUUUUUAUGUUUGAGAUGCAAAUCUAUUAUGUAUUAAAUUUCGAUU